CACACAUAGGUGCCUCCUAGAAGGUUUCUAUGGAUAGUUGGUGUAGAGAGGUUCGAGCUCUCUACACCAAUGUUUCU
Molecule: non-coding RNA, 77 nt
Filed under: Thelohanellus kitauei
Lineage: Eukaryota; Metazoa; Cnidaria; Myxozoa; Bivalvulida; Myxobolidae
Source: RNAcentral